This 105-nucleotide ribosomal RNA is filed under the name uncultured bacterium. RNAcentral describes it as "partial 16S ribosomal RNA". It matches the Rfam family "Bacterial small subunit ribosomal RNA", at positions 1379 to 1482 of the family's 1533-position model. The record is from RNAcentral.
CCUUGUACACACCGCCCGUCAAGCCGCGAAAGUGAGGGGCGUCCGAAGUCGCCGCGCCAACCGCAAGGGGGGCAAGCGCCGAAGACGAAACUCACGAUUGGGACU